ACAGGGAUUGCCCUAGUAACGGCGAGUGAAGCGGCAACAGCUCAAAUUUGAAAUCUGGCGUCUUUGGCGUCCGAGUUGUAAUUUGCAGAGGGCGCUUUGGCAUUGGCAGCGGUCCAAGUUCCUUGGAACAGGACGUCACAGAGGGUGAGAAUCCCGUACGUGGUCGCUAGCCUUUACCGUGUAAAGCCCCUUCGACGAGUCGAGUUGUUUGGGAAUGCAGCUCUAAAUGGGAGGUAAAUUUCUUCUAAAGCUAAAUACUGGCCAGAGACCGAUAGCGCACAAGUAGAGUGAUCGAAAGAUGAAAAGCACUUUGGAAAGAGAGUUAAAAAGCACGUGAAAUUGUUGAAAGGGAAGCGCUUGCAGCCAGACUUGCCUGUAGUUGCUCAUCCGGGUUUCUACCCGGUGCACUCUUCUACGGGCAGGCCAGCAUCAGUUUGGGCGGUUGGAUAAAGGUCUCUGUCAUGUACCUCCUCUCGGGGAGAUCUUAUAGGGGAGACGACAUGCAACCAGCCUGGACUGAGGUCCGCGCAUCUGCUAGGAUGCUGGCGUAAUGGCUGUAAGCGGCCCGUCUUGAAACACGGACCAAGGAGUCUAACAUCUAUGCGAGUGUUUGGGUGUCAAGCCCGAGCGCGUAAUGAAAGUGAACGGAGGUGGGAACCUUUCGGGGUGCACCAUCGACCGAUCCUGAUGUCUUCGGAUGGAUUUGAGUAAGAGCAUAGCUGUUGGGACCCGAAAGAUGGUGAACUAUGCUUGAAUAGGGUGAAGCCAGAGGAAACUCUGGUGGAGGCUCGCAGCGGUUCUGACGUGCAAAUCGAUCGUUCAAAUUUGGGGCAUAGGGCGAAAGACUAAUCGAACUAAC
RNAcentral lists this ribosomal RNA (859 nucleotides) under Epicoccum endophyticum (nom. illeg.). RNAcentral's name for it is "partial large subunit ribosomal RNA". It matches the Rfam family "Eukaryotic large subunit ribosomal RNA", at positions 68 to 944 of the family's 3401-position model. Lineage: Eukaryota; Fungi; Ascomycota; Dothideomycetes; Pleosporales; Didymellaceae. The record is from RNAcentral.